UGGGGAAUAUUGGACAAUGGGGGCAACCCUGAUCCAGCCAUGCCGCGUGAGUGAUGAAGGCCUUAGGGUUGUAAAGCUCUUUUGGCGGGGACGAUAAUGACGGUACCCGCAGAAUAAGCCCCGGCUAACUUCGUGCCAGCAGCCGCGGUAAUACGAAGGGGGCUAGCGUUGUACGGAAUCACUGGGCGUAAAGCGCACGUAGGCGGACUUUCAAGUCAGGGGUGAAAUCCCGGGGCUCAACCUCGGAACUGCCUUUGAUACUGUUGGUCUCGAGUCCGGAAGAGGUGGGUGGAAUUCCUAGUGUAGAGGUGAAAUUCGUAGAUAUUAGGAAGAACACCGGUGGCGAAGGCGGCCCACUGGUCCGGUACUGACGCUGAGGUGCGAAAGCGUGGGGAGCAAACA
RNAcentral lists this ribosomal RNA (402 nucleotides) under uncultured prokaryote. RNAcentral describes it as "bacterial SSU rRNA". It matches the Rfam family "Bacterial small subunit ribosomal RNA", at positions 355 to 774 of the family's 1533-position model. The record is from RNAcentral.